Molecule: ribosomal RNA, 253 nt
Filed under: uncultured bacterium
Lineage: Bacteria
Description: partial 16S ribosomal RNA
Rfam family: Bacterial small subunit ribosomal RNA
Source: RNAcentral
UACGUAGGUGACAAGCGUUGUCCGGAUUUACUGGGCGUAAAGAGCGCGCAGGCGGUCGUUCAAGUCGAGUGUGAAAGCCCCCGGCUCAACUGGGGAGGGUCACUCGAUACUGAUCGACUCGAAGGCAGGAGAGGGAAGUGGAAUUCCCGGUGUAGUGGUGAAAUUCGUAGAUAUCGGGAGGAACACCAGUGGCGAAGGCGGCGAUCUGGGUAGAUACUGACGCUGAGGUGCGAAAGCGUGGGGAGCAAACAGG